GACAGGGGCGGCAAGCGUUGCUCGGAUUUACUGGGCUUAAAGGGCGCGUAGGCGGCUUUAUAAGUGCGAGGUGGAAUUCCACAGUUUAACUGUGGAACUGUCUUGGAAACUAUAAGGCUUGAGGCAGGUAGGGGAGGGCGGAAUUCUCGGUGGAGCGGUGAAAUGCGUAGAUAUCGGGAGGAAGGCCGGUGGCGAAAGCGGCCCACUGGGCCUGUCCUGACGCUGAGGCGCGAAAGCGUAGGGAGCAAACAGG
Molecule: ribosomal RNA, 253 nt
Filed under: uncultured bacterium
Lineage: Bacteria
Description: partial 16S ribosomal RNA
Rfam family: Bacterial small subunit ribosomal RNA
Source: RNAcentral